RNAcentral lists this long non-coding RNA (686 nucleotides) under Equus asinus (donkey). Its description in RNAcentral is "lncRNA (ENSEASG00005031790.1)". The record is from RNAcentral. Lineage: Eukaryota; Metazoa; Chordata; Mammalia; Perissodactyla; Equidae.
CUCCAGAAGGGGCCGGAGACCAAAGGUCAGCCAUGUGGGCCAUAUGUGAUCAAGCUCCAGUAAAAACUCUGGACACCAAAGGCUUGGAUUCUCAUAGCUGAUGGAUUACGUAUAAAGGACCUAAAGAUUCUACAAUAUCCUAACGGUGCUGAAGAAUCGCCUUGAUGGAAUAAGAACCAUUAGGUGGCAGCACAGGGCGUAUCUUGUCAAAUCUUUCUACAAUGGGCUGGCAGAUGUGAGGCACCAAACUGUCUAGCAAGGGAUAACUUAGAACCAUAUCAGGGCAAGCACUUGGGCUGAGACCAGCGAGAGGAUAAGAGCCGGCCAAGAGGCUCCCAGUCUCACUGUGCUGUACUUUCAUAGGAUCGUUCCAGCGCAUCAUAUGUUGCUGUGGUUGCACAUGCCUAUAACUUCAUCAUAUGUUACGUAUUUUGGUUUAGUCGUUGGUUCUCAUGAGAAUUCUUCAGAUGUGCUCACCAACAUGUAAACUUUUUUCUUUGGAUGCAAACAGUCAUAGUGGAAAGUGUGGAGCUGCCAGGAGAGAGGAGGGGUUGCAUCAUAUGGUGACAAAAGAAUGAAUCCCACCCAGAGGAAGCAGAGCCAAGAAAUGGAUCCCUGUUGUUUGAGUCCUGGAUCAAAUCGUGCCUGGAUCCCCAGUGAGCCAAUAAAUUUUCCUUAUUGCUUCA